CCUACGGGCGGCUGCAGUGGGGAAUAUUGGACAAUGGGGGCAACCCUGAUCCAGCCAUGCCGCGUGUGUGAAGAAGGCCCUCGGGUUGUAAAGCACUUUCAGUGAGGAAGAACGCCUGGUGGUUAAUACCCAUCAGGAAAGACAUCACUCACAGAAGAAGCACCGGCUAACUCCGUGCCAGCAGCCGCGGUAAUACGGAGGGUGCGAGCGUUAAUCGGAAUUACUGGGCGUAAAGCGCGCGUAGGUGGCUUGAUAAGCCGGUUGUGAAAGCCCCGGGCUCAACCUGGGAACGGCAUCCGGACCUGUCAAGCUAGAGUGCAGGAGAGGAAGGUAGAAUUCCCGGUGGAGCGGUGAAAUGCGUAGAGAUCGGGAGGAAUACCAGUGGCGAAGGCGGCCUUCUGGACUGACACUGACACUGAGGUGCGAAAGCGUGGGUAGCAAACAGGAUUAGAUACCCUUGUAGUC
This 465-nucleotide ribosomal RNA is filed under the name Vreelandella stevensii. RNAcentral describes it as "partial 16S ribosomal RNA". It matches the Rfam family "Bacterial small subunit ribosomal RNA", at positions 338 to 795 of the family's 1533-position model. The record is from RNAcentral. Lineage: Bacteria; Pseudomonadati; Pseudomonadota; Gammaproteobacteria; Oceanospirillales; Halomonadaceae.